GUCUAUGGCCAUUAUCACCCUGAACGCGCCCGAUCUUGUCUGAUCUCGGAAGCUAAGCAGGGUCGGGCCUGGUUAGUACUUGGACGGGAGACUGCCUGGGAAUACCGGGUGCUGUAGGCU
Molecule: ribosomal RNA, 120 nt
Organism: Cavia aperea (Brazilian guinea pig)
Lineage: Eukaryota; Metazoa; Chordata; Mammalia; Rodentia; Caviidae
Source: Ensembl